This 253-nucleotide ribosomal RNA is filed under the name uncultured bacterium. RNAcentral describes it as "partial 16S ribosomal RNA". It matches the Rfam family "Bacterial small subunit ribosomal RNA", at positions 524 to 776 of the family's 1533-position model. The record is from RNAcentral.
UACGUAGGGUGCAAGCGUUGCUCGGAAUCACUGGGCGUAAAGCGCACGUAGGCGGACUCUUAAGUCGGUGGUGAAAUCCUGGAGCUCAACUCCAGAACUGCCUUCGAUACUGGGAGUCUCGAGUCCGGGAGAGGUGAGUGGAACUGCGAGUGUAGAGGUGAAAUUCGUAGAUAUUCGCAAGAACACCAGUGGCGAAGGCGGCUCACUGGCCCGGUACUGACGCUGAGGUGCGAAAGCGUGGGGAGCAAACAGG